RNAcentral lists this long non-coding RNA (727 nucleotides) under Marmota monax (woodchuck). The record is from RNAcentral. Lineage: Eukaryota; Metazoa; Chordata; Mammalia; Rodentia; Sciuridae.
GGGAGCAGUAGCCGGGAGUUCCGCGCUGCGGGUCCCGCGCCACUCCUGAUUCCCUCGGUCUGGCUAUGGCGCUCACGGGAGAGCUGGGAGGGGCCCUUUAGGUUUACCCGCUGUGUGGAGAGGGAAGGCUAGGGGGUUACACACCUGUCUCCGCCAGUUUCAAUGGAGUUAUCUCCUCUGCCGCAUUCUGGUGAUGUCAGUUCUCUGCCAUGGUGGUAUCCCAUGCAAAUGGUGACAGUUCGUUUCCCUUUGCCGGGUGAGCAAUGCAACGGGUGGGUCCUGACUGGCUCUCCCAAGCCCUGUUUCAAUCCUGUGGCCACUGCCUAUGAAGGCUCGAUUGGCAUUUACCUCCGUAGGUUCAGAAGGGCCGACCAGUUGUUUCAGCGGGAUCGUUUAGUGCUGAGUCACAGCAGUUUGUCUGUGAGAAGCAUGCGAACGGGAGCUUGAAUUCAGCCGAUCCGGUGUGUGUUCUGAGAGGCCCAGACUGUUUGCUCCAGAUCCAUGUCAGCUCAGCAUUGCCUAGUGAUCCUGAGCAAACAGCAUUUAGAUGGUUUACGACUCCCUCUGCCCGUGCAGCUGAAGAGGUCAGAGACUUGAUCUCUCCGCGCCCGCCGCCACGUUGGAUCCCCCUGUUGUAUACUGUUACACAUCAGACUGCCUGAGUUAUUGUAUGUGGUAUUUCUAGUUAUUGUAUGUGGUAUUGGAUGGGGGUAUUUCUAGAACUUGU